This 72-nucleotide transfer RNA is filed under the name Rattus norvegicus (Norway rat). RNAcentral's name for it is "tRNA-Val-AAC-5-1". Lineage: Eukaryota; Metazoa; Chordata; Mammalia; Rodentia; Muridae. The record is from RNAcentral.
GGAUUUAGCUCAGUGGUAGAGCGCUUGCCUAACAAGCACAGGCCCUGGGUUCGGUCCCCAGCUCUGCGGUCC